RNAcentral lists this small RNA (284 nucleotides) under marine eukaryotic metagenome. RNAcentral's name for it is "5' ureB small RNA". It matches the Rfam family "5' ureB small RNA". The record is from RNAcentral.
CCUGCUGCGGACAAAUAAAGUGAAUGUGGGUGUCCAAACCACCGGCGGUCAGGAUCAAACCUUCGCCCGCCGUGACUUCCGUAGUCGGCCCCACGACCAUCCCUGGAUCAACCCCCGCCAUCACGUCAGGAUUGCCCGCUUUCCCGAUGCCGGAAAUACGUCCGUCCUUGACCCCAAUAUCUGCUUUAAAGAUACCGGUAUGAUCGACCACAAGCGCAUUGGUGAUUAACAGGUCCAGCGCCACGUCUUGUCCGACUCCGGCUGCCUGCCCCAUGCCUUCCCGC